Molecule: unclassified non-coding RNA, 231 nt
Filed under: Hevea brasiliensis (rubber tree)
Lineage: Eukaryota; Viridiplantae; Streptophyta; Magnoliopsida; Malpighiales; Euphorbiaceae
Source: RNAcentral
AAGCUUUCGCCCCUUGGACGGUGGUGGACUCCUGCUACCAUAAGGGGAGGGGCUGCGCUUUAUUACCUUUGAUGGUGGGGGGCUCCUGCUACCGCUAGGAGUGAGGCUACGCUUUGGUACCUUAGACAGAGGCGGGCUCUUGUUGUAUCUUGGACUUCUUAAUCUGUCAUCACGCUCUACUGUACGCCCACCCCUCCUAGGAGGAGUUCUGGAUCGAAUGGUAAAUAUUAG